Molecule: ribosomal RNA, 515 nt
Filed under: uncultured bacterium
Lineage: Bacteria
Description: bacterial SSU rRNA
Rfam family: Bacterial small subunit ribosomal RNA
Source: RNAcentral
GACGAACGCUGGCGGCGUGCCUAAUACAUGCAAGUCGAGCGGAUUGAUGGGAGCUUGCUCCCUGAUAUCAGCGGCGGACGGGUGAGUAACACGUGGGCAACCUGCCUAUAAGACUGGGAUAACUUCGGGAAACCGGAGCUAAUACCGGAUAAUCCCUUUCCUCUCAUGAGGAAAGGCUGAAAGAUGGUUUACGCUAUCACUUAUAGAUGGGCCCGCGGCGCAUUAGCUAGUUGGUGAGGUAACGGCUCACCAAGGCAACGAUGCGUAGCCGACCUGAGAGGGUGAUCGGCCACACUGGGACUGAGACACGGCCCAGACUCCUACGGGAGGCAGCAGUAGGGAAUCUUCCGCAAUGGACGAAAGUCUGACGGAGCAACGCCGCGUGAGUGAUGAAGGUUUUCGGAUCGUAAAACUCUGUUGUUAGGGAAGAACAAGUACGAGAGUAACUGCUCGUACCUUGACGGUACCUAACCAGAAAGCCACGGCUAACUACGUGCCAGCCGCCGCAGUAACAC